RNAcentral lists this long non-coding RNA (505 nucleotides) under Phoenix dactylifera (date palm). RNAcentral describes it as "long non-coding RNA (PDAC_LNC002835)". The record is from RNAcentral. Lineage: Eukaryota; Viridiplantae; Streptophyta; Magnoliopsida; Arecales; Arecaceae.
GUGCAUACGGUGUAAGGUAUAAUUUCUUCUAACAUCACCAACUCUACUGCAUUUGGCACCAAUCUCCAACAGGUAAAUCUUAUCAGUUAUAGGUCAACAAGUGGAAUCAUUUAGCUCUUUAGGAGUUAAAAAUCAUGUUAGGCAAAUCCUUUGAGUGGGCUAAACCAACCAUGUGAUGUAAUUUUAAGCUUUGCCCCCUUUUUUUUUUUUCCGACGUCCUUGCGAUGCUCGCUUGGACUGGUAGUGAGCUUGCCGGUAAAGCAGCUUUUGGGACCACGGAAUACUUUUGCACUCGCCAAAGGCCAAGGUUCCCAGCUACUCGUUAUUUAUCACCACGUUUUUCACGUGUCACAAACAUUUGUUUGGUUUGAAGUUUGGGACGUGAUGCGAAACACCACGUUUUCCUUGUGGAGCUACCAAACAGUUGCGAAUAAUAAUAAAACCGACAAAGCGCCCUCCAGCUUGCAAGCGAGAUUUAAGAGUUACGUCAUCUAGCUGGGCUUGG